Molecule: long non-coding RNA, 224 nt
Filed under: Ricinus communis (castor bean)
Lineage: Eukaryota; Viridiplantae; Streptophyta; Magnoliopsida; Malpighiales; Euphorbiaceae
Description: long non-coding RNA (RCOM_LNC000959)
Source: RNAcentral
CAAUAAUCGAAAACAUGGUUAUUCGUUUCAUAUCCACAUGAUGACCAAGUUGUGGACGCAUGGAUCAAUUGGCCGUAAACAUUUGUUUGGUGAGGACGUUUUAUGGAUAAUUCUAUGCAUAUGGAUGUCUUUACUUUUAGGACAAUACAGUUUUUCCAAAUAAGAAAUAAAAUUUUGUAUUUAUUUAUUUAUUUCAUUUUCAUUUAAGUUUUUUAUAUAAAUCG